RNAcentral lists this ribosomal RNA (467 nucleotides) under uncultured bacterium. RNAcentral's name for it is "partial 16S ribosomal RNA". It matches the Rfam family "Bacterial small subunit ribosomal RNA", at positions 28 to 507 of the family's 1533-position model. The record is from RNAcentral.
GAUGAACGCUGGCGGCGUGCUUAACACAUGCAAGUCGAACGGAAAGGCUCCUGCUUGCAGGGGUACUCGAGUGGCGAACGGGUGAGUAACACGUGGGUGAUCUGCCCUGCACUUCGGGAUAAGCCUGGGAAACUGGGUCUAAUACCGGAUAGGACCACAUUUUGGAUGGUGUGGUGGAAAGUUUUUCGGUGUGGGAUGAGCUCGCGGCCUAUCAGCUUGUUGGUGGGGUAAUGGCCUACCAAGGCGUCGACGGGUAGCCGGCCUGAGAGGGUGUACGGCCACAUUGGGACUGAGAUACGGCCCAGACUCCUACGGGAGGCAGCAGUGGGGAAUAUUGCACAAUGGGCGCAAGCCUGAUGCAGCGACGCCGCGUGGGGGAUGACGGCCUUCGGGUUGUAAACUCCCUUCGCUAGGGACGAAGCGUUUUUGUGACGGUACCUGGAGAAGAAGCACCGGCUAACUACGUG